GGGUCGCCGCGUGCCGGCCGGGGGACGGACUGGG
This 34-nucleotide small RNA is filed under the name Bombyx mori (domestic silkworm). RNAcentral describes it as "ovarian small RNA-17540". Lineage: Eukaryota; Metazoa; Arthropoda; Insecta; Lepidoptera; Bombycidae. The record is from RNAcentral.